AUUGAAGUUAAUCACGAAUAUGACAUACCGCACUGCGUUCAAUCAAACAAGUUUGCUUAAUGAUUUUUGCGUCAACGCCACAGAAAUGUUGCAUUCUUUUAUAUUCGUCCAGAAUACGAACCAAUCGCCAUAAGUUCUUUCCUGGGCAGCGAUGAAUUUUGUAUGUUCGGUGCGUGGUGAGUACCAUUCGGUAACAGUUGGCAGCAUGAGAGAAGCCGGCAUUCCGGCGAAGCGCAUUUGCUUCUCGUCCCAACCCCCCACAGCUUUACCGGAAUGGGCAUCACUUUACAUGAAAUCGGUCAUUCCAGGGAGGCCUGUCAUUUGCGAAACUGUUUUCCCGCCGAUCGCCAUGGGUCCGCACGGGUUUCUCCCUCUGGCAAGAGCUGCUACUGGUGAGCUGCCGGUGGCAGUGGCUUAGCGGCUUGACUUCUCUGUUCUGCUUCUCCCAUAUGGACAUAUCCUUGCAUACGCGGUCCAACACCUCGUCUACAACUGCAUCGACGCCAGUCUUUAUGACCUGUUGUCUUUGGCGGUCGCCCGCAGUUUGUUUGAGACUACGGUGCAUGCAGUCAGUUUUCCCCUCAUACCUGUUGUGACGGAAAGGUGGCGGGCCUUCACUGGCAUUUCGAGUCUGUAACGUAGGGUAAGGCGGGUGCUCGUAGUCAGGCGCACCAAUCCGGGGUUCUACUGGCCAAUUAGGAUCCGAUAGGGACGAAAACGGGAAGUCGUAACCUGACCAAUUACCGUCUGGCAUACAGCGGUGCCGCAGCAUUUCCAAGUACGCGCAGCGCUGCGAGGCAUGGGCGGCCGCAAUAUCAGUGGUGGUCGGUACUGCUACUUCUUGCAGUUCCCAAAGGUGACACAUAGUAUCAUUGCAACAGCUGGCAAAGAUAGGCCGCCCCAUCACAACCUCUGAAGGGACUUCCUGAAUCCAGAGGGGACCUCGGUUGCCGUCCAGGUCGUACACGAGACGAACUCGCAGUCUUUGCUGUAUACUGUCUGUCUUGUCUGGAACGUGUAUACAUUCGAGAAACAGGAUGCUGCCUUUGUCCGUGCCCACGCAUAGGACCAUCCUUUUGUAGGGGGCCUCUUGAGUGGCUCCAUCAAUGCAGGACAGCAGCGACGGUGGUGGAACUGGAGAAGGAUCGUGAGUAUUGUCUUCGUCGGUUGUGCUGAGUCGCGCUUCUUCUGGGGGAUUAAUCCAGUGAACGGACGUGAUCGCGUCCUCAGGUUUCACACCCAGUUCCAUCAGUGUGGCAUGUAUUUGGCAUCCAGGGUAAUUCUCUGCAUCCGGCUGAAGGCUUAUUAGGGCAAUUUGGCUCUUUGUGUCUGCAGAUGCUGCAGCGAGGAUAAUAACUUGCUGAUCAUUUAUGUGUUGUGGAGUUGCGGCCAGUGCAUGAAAAGCUCCGGGAAGAGCUCGGACUGAAUGGACAGAUACGUCGAAGUGAUGAGUGUACUGUGGUUCGACAACGAUCACAUUAAAAAUUAGAAUUCCUUCCGUUGGUGAAACUGCUGCAACAUGGAACACGUCAGCGUUUGGGGGGGCCCUUGGGUGCAGCAGUAUGUCUGGGAGGAGGAUAGCAUCCUCAACGGGGGCUUGAACGUCUGAAAGCCAUGGGACGGUCAGGUAGGAGAAGCAAUUGUCAUACAGGGCGCUCCACACCGCCAGGCGGCUUUGUUUGCCUGUAAAUGCACGAAACACUCGUACACAUAAUUGCGUUUGUGUCGCAUGCUCUGUCAUUUAUAUUCUGCGUCUUUCUGAGGUCAUUCAUGCCUGUCUGCCUUGAAGGCUGUCCUGGAGGGUACACGCAAUGAUUUGGGGUGGAGGUGAGCUGGAAGUACGAGUGAUUUUCAUUCAUGCUCACCGACGGCCAUGACAGAGCGACCUCCUCCGCUUACGAGUAGAGUUUGUACUUCUUGCCCGAAAUACACUGCAUUCCAUCAUCAACAAACAAGAUUCUGCAGGGGCGGAUGUGGAAUUGUGUGGCAGCAGUGUAUCAAGUGGAGAACCUGAAACGUGUCAUUCUGCUGCCCACAUUAAGCCAACGUUCUGCAUGGUGGGGAGGACGAUUUACGGUGCGUGCUUCGCUAGUGUAGCAAAGAAGCGUAGUGAAGUGCGACUAAGGCAGAUAUAUUGAGAUUACGAGGAUACUCAAGCCCGAGAGUAUUGUGCUUACAGCAUAUACAACUGUCUUCGUCACCUGUCUGUGAUUAUGUGUGCCGUUCACGAAGCUCCAUGUGUAUGAAGAAUUGAGGUCGGCAGACGGGUGAUGUUUCCGCUGGUACGGAAGAGCAGGCUUACGGCAGUCAAUCUGGAUCAUCUCCGUCAUGUUGCGAAUGAGCCAUCGACGUAAAUGUCCAUCCUGAAAAUAUAACGGAGAACCCAUGAGAGUCAGUAGUGUUCCUUUUCGUUCAACAAGUCAAAAGCCCCGAUUGAGCGUAAUUAUAAUUUCUUCCAG
Molecule: long non-coding RNA, 2459 nt
Filed under: Toxoplasma gondii VEG
Lineage: Eukaryota; Apicomplexa; Conoidasida; Eucoccidiorida; Sarcocystidae
Source: RNAcentral